AACGUAGGUUCCGAGCGUUAUCCGGAUUUACUGGGCGUAAAGCGUGUUCAGGCGGCUCAGCAAGUCGGGCGUGAAAUCUCUCGGCUCAACCGGGAGGGGCUGUCCGAAACUGGUGGGCUUGAGGGCAGUAGAGGGUGGUGGAAUUCCGGGUGUAGUGGUGAAAUGCGUAGAUAUCAGGAGGAACACCGGCGGUGUAGACGGCUAUCUGGACAGUAACUGACGCUGAGACACGAAAGCGUGGGGAGCAAACAGG
Molecule: ribosomal RNA, 253 nt
Filed under: uncultured bacterium
Lineage: Bacteria
Description: partial 16S ribosomal RNA
Rfam family: Bacterial small subunit ribosomal RNA
Source: RNAcentral